Molecule: ribosomal RNA, 450 nt
Filed under: uncultured bacterium
Lineage: Bacteria
Description: partial 16S ribosomal RNA
Rfam family: Bacterial small subunit ribosomal RNA
Source: RNAcentral
GUGGGGAAUUUUGGACAAUGGGCGCAAGCCUGAUCCAGCAAUGCCGCGUGCAGGAAGAAGGCCUUCGGGUUGUAAACUGCUUUUGUACGGAACGAAACGGUCCUGGCUAAUAUCCGGGGCUAAUGACGGUACCGUAAGAAUAAGCACCGGCUAACUACGUGCCCGCAGCCGCGGUAAUACGUAGGGUGCGAGCGUUAAUCGGAAUUACUUGGCGUAAAGCGUGCGCAGGCGGUGCUGUAAGACAGGCGUGAAAGCCCCGGGCUCAACCUGGGAAUUGCGCUGGUGACUGCAGUGCUGGAGUACGGCAGAGGGGGAUGGAAUUCCGCGUGUAGCAGUGAAAUGCGUAGAUAUGCGGAGGAACACCGAUGGCGAAGGCAGUCCCCUGGGCCUGUACUGACGCUCAUGCACGAAAGCGUGGGGAGCAAACAGGAUUAGAAACCCGGGUAGUCC